This 253-nucleotide ribosomal RNA is filed under the name uncultured bacterium. RNAcentral's name for it is "partial 16S ribosomal RNA". It matches the Rfam family "Bacterial small subunit ribosomal RNA", at positions 524 to 776 of the family's 1533-position model. The record is from RNAcentral.
UACGUAGGUGGCAAGCGUUGUCCGGAUUUACUGGGCGUAAAGAGCGCGCAGGCGGUCGUAUAAGUCGAAUGUGAAAGCCCCUGGCUCAACUAGGGAGAGUCAUUCGAUACUGUUCGACUCGAAGGCAGGAGAGGGAAGUGGAAUUCCGGGUGUAGUGGUGAAAUGCGUAGAUAUCCGGAGGAACACCGAUGGCGAAGGCAGAUCUCUGGGCCGUAACUGACGCUGAGGAGCGAAAGCAUGGGGAGCGAACAGG